RNAcentral lists this long non-coding RNA (2022 nucleotides) under Salmo salar (Atlantic salmon). Its description in RNAcentral is "lncRNA (ENSSSAG00000114591.1)". Lineage: Eukaryota; Metazoa; Chordata; Actinopteri; Salmoniformes; Salmonidae. The record is from RNAcentral.
CAACACUGUAUUCUAUAUGAGCACCAAUAUGGUUUUCAUAAAAACUACUCCACAGAUAUGGCUAUUUCGCAACUUGUGGAUAAAAUCUUUACAUCCCUGAACAACAAUGAACGGUAUCUUUUGAGAUUUAUCCAAAGCGUUUGACACGGUCGAUCAUUAAAUAUUACUUUCUAGAUUGCAUUAUUAUGUUUGUUGUGAUUAAACAUAUAAUUGGAUAUAUAGUUAAUGUUUAUGACAGAGAACAAUGUGUUUAUGCAAACGGCUGUGCAUCUACCAGGGCCAAGAUAUCCUGUGGUGUGACACGGUGUUCAAUACCAGUCUAGUUUUAUAGUGGAGCGUAAGGGUUUUACCUGUCUAGUUUUAUAGUGGAGCGUAAGGGUUUUACCUGUCUAGUUUUCAUAGUGGAGGGUAAGAGUUAGUGGUAAGGGUUUUACCAUCUAGUUUUCAUAGUGGAGGGUUAGUGGUAAGGAUUUUACCAGUCUAGUUUUCAUAGUGGAGGGUUAGUGGUAAGGAUUUUACCAGUCUAGUUUUCAUAGUGGAGGGUGAGGGUUUACCAGUCUAGAUUUUAUAGUGGAGGGUAAGGGUUAGUGGUAAGGGUUUACCAGUCAAGUUUUUAUAGUGGAGGGUAAGAGUUUACUAGUCUCGUUUUUAUAGUGGAGGGUAAGGGUUAGUGGUAAGGGUUUACCAGUCUAGUUUUUAUAGUGGAGGGUAAGGGUUUACCAGUCUCAUUCUUAUAGUGGAGGGUAAGGGUUAGUGGUAAGGGUUUACCAGUCUAGUUUUCAUAGUGGAGGGUAAGAGUUAGUGGUAAGGGUUUACCAGUCUAGUUUUCAUAGUGGAGGGUAAGGGUUAGUGGUGAGGGUUUACCAGUCUAGUUUUCAUAGUGGAGGGUUAGUGGUGAGGGUUUACCAGUCUAGUUUUCAUAGUGGAGGGUUAGUGGUGAGGGUUUUACCAGUCUAGUUUUCAUAGUGGAGGAUAAGGGUUCGUGGUGAGGGUUUACCAGUCUAGUUUUCGUAGUGGAGGGUUAGUGGUGAGGGUUUUACCAGUCUAGUUUUCAUAGUGGAGGGUAAGAGUUAGUGGUAAGGGUUUACCAGUCUAGUUUUCAUAGUGGAGGGUAAGGGUUAGUGGUGAGGGUUUACCAGUCUAGUUUUCUUAGUGGAGGGUUAGUGGUGAGGGUUUACCAGUCUAGUUUUCAUAGUGAAGGGUUAGUGGUGAGGGGUUUACCAGUCUAGUUUUCAUAGUGGAGGGUAAGGGUUAGUGGUGAGGGUUUACCAGUCUAGUUUUCUUAGUGGAGGGUUAGUGGUGAGGGUUUACCAGUCUAGUUUUCAUAGUGAAGGGUUAGUGGUGAGGGUUUUACCAGUCUAGUUUUCAUAGUGGAGGAUAAGGGUUAGUGGUGAGGGUUUACCAGUCUAGUUUUCAUAGUGGAGGGUUAGUGGUGAGGGUUUUACCAGUCUAGUUUUCAUAGUGGAGGGUUAGUGGUGAGGGUUUUACCAGUCUAGUUUUCAUAGUGGAGGGUUAGUGGUGAGGGUUUUACCAGUCUAGUUUUCACAGUGGAGGGUUAGUGGUGAGGGUUUUACCAGUCUAGUUUUCAUAGUGGAGGGUAAGAGUUAGUGGUAAGGGUUUACCGGUCUAGUUUUCAUAGUGGAGGGUAAGGGUUAGUGGUAUGGGUUUACCAGUGUAGUUUUUAUAGUGGAUUGUACUAAUUUGACCUAAUUUGUUAUUCCUAAUCUAUAUCAAUGACCUUGCUGCUGGGUCUUCUACCGUACCUCCCCUUCUCUUUACUGAUGAUGCCAAUUAGAUUUUAUCACACAAGCAUUUUAAUUCACUAAUUAAUGAAACCAACUCAGGCAUGGCCACAUUUUCUAAAUGAUUCCAGAUAAACAAAUGAUCUUUAAACAUAAUACAUCCAACUUUAUUAUAUUCAAUUAAAUGGAACAAGUCACAUCCACUAGAUUCCUCAGAGCUCUAAUUGAUGAAACGUUAUCUAGGGAGGAACAUAUUUAAUUUGUCUGCAGCAAAGUGACG